RNAcentral lists this ribosomal RNA (586 nucleotides) under uncultured Sphingobacteriia bacterium. Its description in RNAcentral is "bacterial SSU rRNA". It matches the Rfam family "Bacterial small subunit ribosomal RNA", at positions 329 to 915 of the family's 1533-position model. Lineage: Bacteria; Pseudomonadati; Bacteroidota; Sphingobacteriia. The record is from RNAcentral.
CAGGUCACUCCUACGGGAGGCAGCAGUAAGGAAUAUUGGUCAAUGGACGCAAGUCUGAACCAGCCAUGCCGCGUGGAGGAUGAAGGCCCUCUGGGUUGUAAACUUCUUUUAUUGGGGAAAAAACCGGUGUUUUCUAACGCCGUUGACGGUACCUGAUGAAUAAGCACCGGCCAACUCCGUGCCAGCAGCCGCGGUAAUACGGAGGGUGCAAGCGUUAUCCGGAUUCACUGGGUUUAAAGGGUGCGUAGGUGGGCAGGUAAGUCAGUGGUGAAAUCUCCGGGCUUAACCCGGAAACUGCCGUUGAUACUAUUUGUCUUGAAUAUCGUGUAGGUGAGCGGAAUAUGUCAAGUAUCGGUGAAAUGCUUAGAUAUAACGUAGAACAUCGAUUGCAAAGGCAGCUCGCUACACUAUUAUUGACACUGAGGCACGAAAGCGUGGGGAUCAAACAGGAUUAGAUACCCUGGUAGUCCACGCCCUAAACGAUGGAUACUCGACAUCAGCGAUACACGGUUGGUGUCUGAGCGAAAGCAUUAAGUAUCCCACCUGGGAAGUACGACCGCAAGGUUGAAACUCCUAGGAAUUGACG